This 500-nucleotide ribosomal RNA is filed under the name uncultured bacterium. RNAcentral describes it as "partial 16S ribosomal RNA". It matches the Rfam family "Bacterial small subunit ribosomal RNA", at positions 30 to 523 of the family's 1533-position model. The record is from RNAcentral.
AUUGAACGCUGGCGGCAUGCCUUACACAUGCAAGUCGAACGGCAGCACGGGAGCAAUCCUGGUGGCGAGUGGCGAACGGGUGAGUAAAGUAUCGGAACGUGCCCAGUCGUGGGGGAUAACGUAGCGAAAGUUACGCUAAUACCGCAUACGAUCUAUGGAUGAAAGCGGGGGAUCGCAAGACCUCGCGCGGUUGGAGCGGCCGAUAUCAGAUUAGGCAGUUGGUGGGGUAAAGGCUCACCAAGCCGACGAUCUGUAGCUGGUCUGAGAGGACGACCAGCCACACUGGGACUGAGACACGGCCCAGACUCCUACGGGAGGCAGCAGUGGGGAAUUUUGGACAAUGGGCGAAAGCCUGAUCCAGCCAUGCCGCGUGCAGGAUGAAGGCCUUCGGGUUGUAAACUGCUUUUGUACGGAACGAAAAGGUUUGGCCUAAUAAGCUGAGCUCAUGACGGUACCGUAAGAAUAAGCACCGGCUAACUACGUGCCAGCCGCCGCGGUAA